CCCCUAGAUGUUCUGGGCCGCACGCGCGCUACACUGAACAGUUCAACAAGUCUUAACCUUGGCCGAUAGGUCUGGGUAAUCUUUGAACGCUGUUCGUGAUUGGGAUAGACCUUUGCAAUUAUGGGUCUUCAACGAGGAAUUCCUAGUAAACGCAAGUCAUCAGCUUGCAUUGAUUACGUCCCUGCCCUUUGUACACACCGCCCGUCGCACCUACCGAUUGAAUGGUCCGGUGAAAUCUCGGGACGGCGGCUUGGUCGCUUGCGUCCGACUGCUGAAACUUGAUUAAACCAUAUCAUUUAGAGGAAGGUGAAGUCGUAACA
RNAcentral lists this ribosomal RNA (320 nucleotides) under uncultured eukaryote. RNAcentral describes it as "partial 18S ribosomal RNA". It matches the Rfam family "Eukaryotic small subunit ribosomal RNA", at positions 1470 to 1796 of the family's 1831-position model. The record is from RNAcentral.